This 2650-nucleotide long non-coding RNA is filed under the name Homo sapiens (human). RNAcentral's name for it is "HSALNT0295055". The record is from RNAcentral. Lineage: Eukaryota; Metazoa; Chordata; Mammalia; Primates; Hominidae.
AGUCCUUUGGGUAAAUACCCAGUAAUGGGAUGGCUGGGUCAAAUGGUAUUUCUAAUUCUAGAUAGAAUGUUUCCUCUUAUAACUCAUAGUGAAUAUGACUGGACAAUGAAACUAUUUUGUAAUUUCUUUCCUGAAAGAUAAAGGCGUUAGAACAUAGAAUCUUUCAUUGAUUCUACAGAAUCUUAAGACUCCUUCAGAGAUGGCAGUCAUUCGUACCGUGCUGAACAUCAUGUUGUCACGGUCAGAAUCAGAACUAAAUUGAUUAAGGUUCUGAAACAGUUUGGCACUCUUGGGCACUUAUUCUGAUAAGAAAGCUGAUGAGACAGGGUAAUGAAAAGAGGCUGCAAGAAAUGACCAUUCAUGCAUUCAGCCAACAUUUAGGCCACCCUCCUGUAUUCCAGGCACUGUACGUGGCACUGAGAAUGCAAAGCAAAACGAGUCAUGGUCUACUGGCGGGAGCCUUCUCAGCGGAGAAAAGAUCAACAAGAAAAGUGCCUGCUGGAGACCUCUCCUAGGGCAUAAACCAAUAUAGAGGUGGGGCAGCUACGUCAGCCUGAGGUGUCCUUAGGCAGAACAGAAAGUGAGAAUCAGAGCAGUAUCUCAUUUCUGAACACCUGGAUUGUAGCUUUCCCUGGACUGACUGUCAAAGGAGGUGGUUUUAAAAAGCAAGCCAAACAGGUUUCCGUCCUUUAGGAAGACCCUGGAACGUGCCAGUUGAUUCUGACAAUUUCUCAUGAACAGAAACACCUAGGAAGGGAGAACUGCUUUAAAUCAUCUAGGAACUUCAUAUAAAAUUUAAUUCCAGUUUCAACUAGUUGUGGAGCAUUUGAUCCAAAAUAAAAUGAAAGUCCUCUCUGAAGCUGUAGAGGAGGCUCAAGAAUCAGAACAACCUGAAGUUCUUUAAGCUGUCAGUUGAAAGACUAGGUAAAAAACAAAUAUCAUUUAGUGUGAUCAUUAAUGCACAUGAGUCAUUAUUCCAUGUGGUUGCUGUCGACUGGUCAGGGGCACUUCAAGCCCUAAUCUGUACUUUGUCCUGUCUCUCUACACCCCGUUCUACUUUUUCAGCUUGCCUGUAAUAUGUGAAUGGAAAUAAAAUAAUCAAGCUUGUUAGAAUUGUGUUCAUAAUGACACAAAAGACCUGAGAGAACGUAAGAACAUAUAGAACAUCCAAAAUAAGACAUAUUUUUGGUUGGUUUAAAACCUUUUUGUUUGUUUCAUUUUCUUCUGUGCUUAAUGUAUAGUUACUAUUAUUUCAUAUCCUUUGACUUACAGGUUUGACUGCAAUGCAGUGUGAAUAUCGCACAUGGGACCAUUUGUCAUACUGUCAGAUGGCAAUACAUAGAUGGAUAGAAUUUUGCUGUUUGAUCAAAGCUGUGCCAUCGGAAACUUGUUUUCCCAAGUAUGGGUACAUUCUCCUCUUUUCCUGAGUGGAGAAACCUAGAUCUGAGCAAAAAGCAUGAAUCAAUACACCUUGGGAGGCAGGGUGUGAAAUAUUUGAUGCCAUUUCCUUUGCUUGUAAAUUGUUCAUUUCAUUUGAAUAUAAAUAUAAAAGGACUUCUACCAAGAACAUGAAACUAACAUUUUGCCAAGCUAAAUUUUAAUGAAUUUAUUUGGACGUUUUUAUAAUCACUUAAUAUUUUCAGUUCAUGUGCUAAUAUUAACUCUACUUACUGGAGAGAAAGAAAUGGUAUUCAAUAUGAUAACUGCCUUGUUACUGCAGAAAUGUAGAAGUUUGGCAUUUUAAGUAUCAAAUAUUUUAAGUCAAAAAAUUACUAGUGUCCCACAGCACAGAGAGAGAAUAUAUGUUUGCUUGUGUCCCUUUAAUCUUUCCCCUGUAAAAUUAAGCCUAGGGGCUUUACACUAUUUUAAAUUUUCAAAAUUAGGUCAUGUAAAUGUUGUGUCAGAUUUCCAAUUCAUAAGUAGUAUACUUAUGAAUACUGAAUAGUGAACAUAGGGUACAUUUAUAUCCUACUGAUUGCUUAGCUGUGGACCAGAGGUAAACAGAGAAUGAAUGGUAUUUUCACAGGUUAGUAAACUGUUUUUCUAUGAUCUCUUAUAUACAAGUGUGAUUAACAUUUUUUCCCCCUUCCUGAACUAAUAUAGGAACAUAUGGUCUAAUAAGUGUGAGUUCAUUUGGGGAGGGCAGGAUAGAAUGCUUGAAAUUAGGACUGACCCAAAAAAUGCCUUGGUCUCAGUAUUUGUGGAUUACGAGGAGGAAGGGCUGAAAAGGAACCUUAAAAGCAUUAGAAUGGUAGAGUACAGAUUAGCAGCAACACUCAGGGCUCCAUCAUGAAGAGAGUGAGAUGAGUUCCCAUGAUUAAUGCAGCAGGGGCUCUAAUUGAAAGCCCUCUACCUAGGAAAUGAUUUAAAUCCUUUUAUCCUAGCUGGAUUGUGAACAUUUUAUUUACUUUGAGGAAGUUGUUUAACACUUUUUGUAGAUUGCAUCAAUAUUUAGAGUAAUGUAAAUACAUUUUCCCUUUGGCUAUUUUACAAGGACAUGGAGGAUUAAUUAAAUUUAAAAGAAAGUAGUGCAGUUAACUCCCAGGAGACAGAGGGAGAUGUUUAUCAUUUUUCUCAUCAUUCAUUCCUUAUUCAUUCAUUUUACAAAUGUUUGUUGAAUAGUAAUUAUAAUGAAGAUACUAUACCAGCU